Phasianus colchicus (ring-necked pheasant) is the source of this 923-nucleotide non-coding RNA. Lineage: Eukaryota; Metazoa; Chordata; Aves; Galliformes; Phasianidae. The record is from RefSeq and is a predicted model, not a curated record.
UUUUUUUUUUCUUUCUCUUUUCCUCAUUGUCCUUCCUGGGACACUCAAUCACUGUUCAGUUUCCAAUAGAUUAUUCUAGAUAUCCAAAGUUUGUGUCUCUACUUUGACAGCAUAGACCAUUUUGAGAACUCGCUAUGCAGAAGGGGAAAAAUAAUCUUUUGGUGCCACCAUUACUUUUCUUCAGCAACGUAGGAGAAAAUACCAUUGAGCACUAAGAGGAAUUUUUGAUAAAUACUCUAUUGAGAGGGUGGACUGAUUAAUUCUAUUGAACUGAUAAUUUUUUUAUGGCUUUUAGGUAUGGGCAGAACAAGAUCACAUUUGCUUGGAGGUGCAUGUAGCUUGAAAGGACCCAGCCUUCCAUUUAUGUAUGUCAAAUAUCCUACACCCUUUCAGAAGCUGAACCAGACUGGUACUUCCUUUUUCAUUCUUUGAAUCUCACAGAAAGCUUUUGUCUCCUGCACUGAAGGAAGGAUCUCCAAGCAAGAAAGAAUGGUAUGAGUCAUUUUGUUAUCUCAUUUCCUUUUUAGUCCUCUCAAAAAUCCUAUCAGUAGCUAAUACAGCUUGAUGUAGAAUUAACUCUUGUGGUAGCUACUCCAUUACUUCUGUGAAGCAAUUACAGAGAUCUCUGCCAGAAGAAGCAUUUACUGAGGAAUCCAUACUGCCAGUGGCAGAAGGCCAGCAGAGAAGCGUAUUGGAGCAACAGUCCCUUGAGGGUGAUUCCUGCCUCUAUAGAUCCGAUACAAACAUUAUUUUUUGUAAACAUCUCCUACUUACAAAGUUAGUAGGCCUCUGCUUAUUUUCCACAGCUGAAGACACAUCUUGCAAGAAGCAAUGUAUGAAGUUUGUCUGUAUCUUUCUGUGAUAUAAAUUGGUCAUGCUAUGGAAUUAUAAAUAAGGAUUUAACAAAAAAAAAAAAAAAAAAA